Molecule: long non-coding RNA, 785 nt
Organism: Macadamia integrifolia
Lineage: Eukaryota; Viridiplantae; Streptophyta; Magnoliopsida; Proteales; Proteaceae
Exons: 3
Source: RefSeq, a predicted model, not a curated record
UUGCAGAGGAAGGAAAAUAGUGAAGUUAGCUUUAGGGGUUUAGGGCACAAUCAAGGUUAGGUUUUAUACCUUUUGUUCUGCUGGUUCCGGCAUCUACUUCUCUCUCUCUCUGUCUUUGAUCUUUCGCCAUGGACGAAUCUUAUACCAGUCUUCCUACCAGCCAUUUACUGGGUUCAGUUGCUGUUCUGUUGCUAAUCCCAGUUGAGAUCCUCUGGUGGAUCAUCAUAAUCCUCACCGCUGUGGCUUCAGCUUCCUUUGUUUCUCUGAACAUGAAGUCCUUCAUCGAGGCUGAUCUCAUGAUAGUGGUGGUGGCAGCAUUUGCUUUGCGAGUUGCUCUAGCACUUUUCAUCAAGAUCUGGUUCUUCCCAUAAAUAUCAGACGCUAUACUCAAUGGGUGGGUAUUGGUAUCCUGAAAGAAAAAGAGAUGUAAACAGAUGGCAUCCAAUACAGUGAUAAUUGCUAUGUUCAUAUUCCGCUUUGUAUUAUAUGUCCAGUGGUGGAAUCAAGGAAGCCAAAAGAGACGAAAUUGCACUAUGACAAAUACUGGGUGUUGACGAAAUUGCACUAUGACAAAUCCCAAUCAGGGUUCUCUUCAGGGUAUCAACAGAAGUAGAUAUCAAUUGAAGACUCCUUAGAAGCUCCAGUAACUUCAUUUCAGAUUGAUCAAGUUUUGCUUCAAUAAUUCCUUUGAUUCUCAGAACCUCCUCAAUGAUCUUAAUUUCUCCUCCACGAUUGAUCCUGUAAACAUUCACAAUAAUAUUAUUAAUCUGUUCUGCGUUAUCCUC